RNAcentral lists this ribosomal RNA (1250 nucleotides) under uncultured Chlorophyceae. RNAcentral's name for it is "partial Bacterial large subunit ribosomal RNA". It matches the Rfam family "Bacterial large subunit ribosomal RNA", at positions 3 to 1306 of the family's 2925-position model. Lineage: Eukaryota; Viridiplantae; Chlorophyta; Chlorophyceae. The record is from RNAcentral.
UCAAGCAACUAAGCGCAUACGGUGGAUGCCUUGGCAGUCAGAGGCGAUGAAAGACGUGGAAGCCUGCGAUAAGGUUCGGGGAGCUGGCAAACAAGCUGUGAUCCGGGCAUUUCUGAAUGGGGAAACCCACCGACUUUCGGGUCGGUAUCUUACACUGAAUCCAUAGGUGUAAGAGGCGAACCGGGGGAACUGAAACAUCUAAGUACCCCGAGGAAAAGAAAUCAACCGAGAUUCCCUAAGUAGCGGCGAGCGAACGGGGAUUAGCCCUUAAGCUAGACAACUGGUAGGAGAAGGCUCUGGAAAGUGCCGCCAUAGUGGGUGAUAGCCCCGUAUCCGAAACCUGAGUCUGGUGAAAUCGAGUAGGACGGGACACGUGAUAUCCUGUCUGAACAUGGGGGGACCAUCCUCCAAGGCUAAAUACUCCUGACUGACCGAUAGUGAACCAGUACCGUGAGGGAAAGGCGAAAAGAACCCCUGUGAGGGGAGUGAAAUAGAUCCUGAAACCGUAUGCGUACAAGCAGUCGGAGCGGACUUGUUCCGUGACGGCGUACCUUUUGUAUAAUGGGUCAUCGACUUGGUCUAUCUAGCAAGCUUAAGCCGUUAGGUGUAGGCGCAGCGAAAGCGAGUCUUAAUAGGGCGAAUGAGUUAGGUGGAUCAGACCCGAAACCGAGUGAUCUAGGCAUGGCCAGGUUGAAGGUAAGGUAACACUUACUGGAGGACCGAACCCACAUCUGUUGAAAAAGAUCGGGAUGAGCUGUGCCUAGGGGUGAAAGGCCAAUCAAACUCGGAGAUAGCUGGUUCUCUGCGAAAUCUAUUUAGGUAGAGCGUCAUCCGAAUACCCUCGGGGGUAGAGCACUGGAUGGGUAAUGGGGCCCCACAGGCUUACUGAUCCUAACCAAACUCCGAAUACCGAGGAGUACUAGAUGGCAGACACACUGCGGAUGCUAACGUCCGUAGUGGAGAGGGAAACAACCCUGACCUACAGCUAAGGCCCCCAAUUCAUGGCUAAGUGGGAAAGCAGGUGGGACGACCAAAACAACCAGGAGGUUGGCUUAGAAGCAGCCACCCUUUAAAGAAAGCGUAAUAGCUCACUGGUCGAGUCGGCCUGCGCGGAAGAUGUAACGGGGCUAAACUGGUAACCGAAGCUGUGGAUGCGUGUUUACACGCAUGGUAGAGGAGCGUUCUGUACGCUGUUGAAGGUGAAUCGAGAGGUUUGCUGGAGGUAUCAGAAGUGCGAAUGCUGACAUGAG